Molecule: ribosomal RNA, 253 nt
Filed under: uncultured bacterium
Lineage: Bacteria
Description: partial 16S ribosomal RNA
Rfam family: Bacterial small subunit ribosomal RNA
Source: RNAcentral
UACGAAGGGUGCAAGCGUUGCUCGGAAUUAUUGGGCGUAAAGGGUAGGUAGGUGGUCUGAUUUGUCUGAGGUGAAAGCCCGGGGCUUAACCCCGGAAGUGCCUUAGAAACGGUUAGACUAGAGUACUGGAGAGGGUCGCGGAAUUCCCGGUGUAGCGGUGAAAUGCGUAGAGAUCGGGAGGAACAUCAGAGGCGAAGGCGGCGGCCUGGACAGGUACUGACACUCAACUACGAAAGCGUGGGUAGCAAACAGG